RNAcentral lists this transfer RNA (85 nucleotides) under Vibrio nereis. RNAcentral describes it as "tRNA-Leu". It matches the Rfam family "tRNA". Rfam says of the family: Transfer RNA (tRNA) molecules are approximately 80 nucleotides in length. Their secondary structure includes four short double-helical elements and three loops (D, anti-codon, and T loops). Lineage: Bacteria; Pseudomonadati; Pseudomonadota; Gammaproteobacteria; Vibrionales; Vibrionaceae. The record is from RNAcentral.
GCGGAAGUGGCGGAAUUGGUAGACGCACCAGAUUUAGGUUCUGGCGCCGCAAGGUGUGAGAGUUCAAGUCUCUCCUUCCGCGCCA